AUAGUUACUUGGCAGGGGCGAUACCAUGAUCACGAAGGUGGUUCACCCAGGGCGAGGCUCUGCCAUUGCACUUUGGUGGUGCUGACCCUUGCGAAUUCCCCAAAGACGGGAAUCUUGACUGUAUAAUUUCUGGUAGUGGGGGACUGCGUUCGCGUGCUCCCCUG
This is a small nuclear RNA of Pygocentrus nattereri (red-bellied piranha), 164 nucleotides long. Its record names the gene U1. It matches the Rfam family "U1 spliceosomal RNA". Rfam says of the family: U1 is a small nuclear RNA (snRNA) component of the spliceosome (involved in pre-mRNA splicing). Its 5' end forms complementary base pairs with the 5' splice junction, thus defining the 5' donor site of an intron. There are significant differences in sequence and secondary structure between metazoan and yeast U1 snRNAs, the latter being much longer (568 nucleotides as compared to 164 nucleotides in human). Lineage: Eukaryota; Metazoa; Chordata; Actinopteri; Characiformes; Serrasalmidae. The record is from Ensembl.